UGGUGAAAAUGUGUUGAUUGUAAUGUUGAUCAAUAAACAUGGUUUCAGCCUAGUUAUAAUGAUCUAAAAUUCACGGUCCAAAACUGCAGUUAUUUUUGCACCAAC
This 105-nucleotide microRNA precursor is filed under the name Pongo abelii (Sumatran orangutan). RNAcentral's name for it is "miRNA". The record is from RNAcentral. Lineage: Eukaryota; Metazoa; Chordata; Mammalia; Primates; Hominidae.